This 941-nucleotide long non-coding RNA is filed under the name Homo sapiens (human). Its description in RNAcentral is "HSALNT0074032". The record is from RNAcentral. Lineage: Eukaryota; Metazoa; Chordata; Mammalia; Primates; Hominidae.
AAAGACUUGGGUCCAAAACUUAUUUAUUCCAUGACGAUCAUCUAAGAAACUGUUUUUCUAUGAGAUCACAGAUUUAAUUGACUUAAGUAUGAAGAAUUAGACCAAAUUGAUUUUGCCAUUUUGUGUUUUAGAUUUGAAAUCUUGACAUCAGUCUCCAAGCUAUUGGAAUGGUGUGAAGGGCAGGAGACAAAGAUUUCAAAUAGACUUUGAAACUACAGGAAGCCAAGAAUGUCUUUGAGUAGGGGAAUGUUUCAUUUGUAUAUAACAGACAUCCCUUUCCCCAAAGGCAUAAAUAUAAAGGAUAUAACAGUAUAACUGCACUGAGUGUUAACUUAAAAAUCUCUUAUAACCCUUCAAGUAAUAUUAGUGACUAUUCUUACAAAAAAAUUGGUUAUGCACCUUCCUUCAAAGCAAGAAAGGAUGCAAUGAGGAAAGGAUAGAGAACUAUGACUAGUCAGUUGUGCUAGGGAUAAUCUAGACAAACUGCCAUUCAAGGAUAAAGGCAAAAGGAAGUUUUGGACAUUCAAGAACUCAUGAAUUACUGCUCUGAAGGCCCCUUCUUAAGAAAUCUAUCGGAGAGCAAACUUCAGCUAACCAAGAGGUAGCUGGAACAGGACCACCAGAAGUCAAGACAGCUUUUUUCCUAUCGUUGCUGCUGCUAAAGGAGUUCAUGAGGACUAAGUACUAUUCUGAGGUGCAUCUUAACAGUCUGUCUGCUGUCACUCUGACAAUGUCACUGACAAUAUCACUGACAGUGUCUGUGCUGUCACAAUAUUCCUGGUAGCUUAUACUUGUCAUAGUAAAGUCUAUUUUGGCAUAGAACAAGAACAUAAUACUGUGCCCCAAAGUCAUAAAGGAUGGAAAAAAAAAUCAGUCAAUGCUAUUUGUGCAAUGUUCUUUCUAUGUGACCCCGUGCUCUGGUUGAGUGUUUGAAUAAAAUG